RNAcentral lists this ribosomal RNA (497 nucleotides) under uncultured bacterium. RNAcentral's name for it is "partial 16S ribosomal RNA". It matches the Rfam family "Bacterial small subunit ribosomal RNA", at positions 28 to 507 of the family's 1533-position model. The record is from RNAcentral.
GAUGAACGCUGGCGGCGUGCCUAAUACAUGCAAGUCGAGCGAACAGACGAGGAGCUUGCUCCUCUGACGUUAGCGGCGGACGGGUGAGUAACACGUGGAUAACCUACCUAUAAGACUGGGAUAACUUCGGGAAACCGGAGCUAAUACCGGAUAAUAUAUUGAACCGCAUGGUUCAAUAGUGAAAGACGGUGUUGCUGUCACUUAUAGAUGGAUCCGCGCCGCAUUAGCUAGUUGGUAAGGUAACGGCUUACCAAGGCAACGAUGCGUAGCCGACCGGAGAGGGUGAUCGGCCACACGAGAACGGAGACACGGUCCAGGCUCCUGAGGGAGGCAGCAGUAGGGAAUGUUCCGCAAUGGGCGGAAGCCUGACGGAGCAACGCCGCGUGAGUGAUGAAGGUCUUCGGAUCGUAAAACUCUGUUAUUAGGGAAGAACAAAUGUGUAAGUAACUGUGCACGUCUUGACGGUACCUAAUCAGAAAGCCACGGCUAACUACGUG